This 441-nucleotide ribosomal RNA is filed under the name Triticum aestivum (bread wheat). Its description in RNAcentral is "partial small subunit ribosomal RNA". Lineage: Eukaryota; Viridiplantae; Streptophyta; Magnoliopsida; Poales; Poaceae. The record is from RNAcentral.
AUGGAGCAGAGGGCCGCGGGCGGCGUUCUCCGACGGUCUCUCAGGCUCGGGCUGCCGAGAACCGUGAGGGCCCUGAGCACCAGCGCCACUACGCCGGCCGCGGCGGCGGAGGGAGAGGCGGCGGCCAAUGCGAGAAGGAACAAGAAGAAGAACCUAUUCGACGUGGCGCAGUUCCUACCGGACUGGGGCGUCGGCUACAGGCCGCCAAGACCACCUGGCGCGACGUCUCCAACCAGAUCACCAAGAUCAACCUCUACAAGAUAUGUAUUGAUGCAGGAUGGCCGCCACGGGAAGGCGUGGGGGAUUCGGCACAAGGACGGCGUGCAAGCAGCCGGCAUUCCGAUAAGAAUCAGUAGGGUUAACAAACGUGGUUGGAAGUACAUAAAGGCGCCGUUGGAAGAUAUCCCUGGAGCAGAGCCGCCAUCCGUCACCGCUGCUUAG